This 1342-nucleotide ribosomal RNA is filed under the name Salmonella enterica subsp. enterica serovar Bovismorbificans. RNAcentral's name for it is "partial 23S ribosomal RNA". It matches the Rfam family "Bacterial large subunit ribosomal RNA", at positions 1619 to 2925 of the family's 2925-position model. The record is from RNAcentral. Lineage: Bacteria; Pseudomonadati; Pseudomonadota; Gammaproteobacteria; Enterobacterales; Enterobacteriaceae.
CUCUAAGCAUCAGGUAACAUCAAAUCGUACCCCAAACCGACACAGGUGGUCAGGUAGAGAAUACCAAGGCGCUUGAGAGAACUCGGGUGAAGGAACUAGGCAAAAUGGUGCCGUAACUUCGGGAGAAGGCACGCUGACACGUAGGUGAAGUGAUUUACUCAUGGAGCUGAAGUCAGUCGAAGAUACCAGCUGGCUGCAACUGUUUAUUAAAAACACAGCACUGUGCAAACACGAAAGUGGACGUAUACGGUGUGACGCCUGCCCGGUGCCGGAAGGUUAAUUGAUGGGGUCAGCGCAAGCGAAGCUCCUGAUCGAAGCCCCGGUAAACGGCGGCCGUAACUAUAACGGUCCUAAGGUAGCGAAAUUCCUUGUCGGGUAAGUUCCGACCUGCACGAAUGGCGUAAUGAUGGCCAGGCUGUCUCCACCCGAGACUCAGUGAAAUUGAACUCGCUGUGAAGAUGCAGUGUACCCGCGGCAAGACGGAAAGACCCCGUGAACCUUUACUAUAGCUUGACACUGAACAUUGAGCCUUGAUGUGUAGGAUAGGUGGGAGGCUUUGAAGUGUGGACGCCAGUCUGCAUGGAGCCGACCUUGAAAUACCACCCUUUAAUGUUUGAUGUUCUAACGUGGACCCGUUACCCGGGUUGCGGACAGUGUCUGGUGGGUAGUUUGACUGGGGCGGUCUCCUCCUAAAGAGUAACGGAGGAGCACGAAGGUUGGCUAAUCCUGGUCGGACAUCAGGAGGUUAGUGCAAUGGCAUAAGCCAGCUUGACUGCGAGCGUGACGGCGCGAGCAGGUGCGAAAGCAGGUCAUAGUGAUCCGGUGGUUCUGAAUGGAAGGGCCAUCGCUCAACGGAUAAAAGGUACUCCGGGGAUAACAGGCUGAUACCGCCCAAGAGUUCAUAUCGACGGCGGUGUUUGGCACCUCGAUGUCGGCUCAUCACAUCCUGGGGCUGAAGUAGGUCCCAAGGGUAUGGCUGUUCGCCAUUUAAAGUGGUACGCGAGCUGGGUUUAGAACGUCGUGAGACAGUUCGGUCCCUAUCUGCCGUGGGCGCUGGAGAACUGAGGGGGGCUGCUCCUAGUACGAGAGGACCGGAGUGGACGCAUCACUGGUGUUCGGGUUGUCAUGCCAAUGGCACUGCCCGGUAGCUAAAUGCGGAAGAGAUAAGUGCUGAAAGCAUCUAAGCACGAAACUUGCCCCGAGAUGAGUUCUCCCUGAGACUUAGAGUCUCCUGAAGGAACGUUGAAGACGACGACGUUGAUAGGCCGGGUGUGUAAGCGCAGCGAUGCGUUGAGCUAACCGGUACUAAUGAACCGUGAGGCUUAACCUUACAACGCCGAAG